AGUGAACGCUGGCGGUAGGCCUAACACAUGCAAGUCGAACGGCAGCACAGUAAGAGCUUGCUCUUACGGGUGGCGAGUGGCGGACGGGUGAGGAAUACAUCGGAAUCUACUUUUUCGUGGGGGAUAACGUAGGGAAACUUGCGCAAAUACCGCAUACGACCUACGGGUGAAAGCAGGGGAUCUUCGGACCUUGCGCGAUUGAAUGAGCCGAUGUCGGAUUAGCUAGUUGGCGGGGUAAAGGCCCACCAAGGCGACGAUCCGUAGCUGGUCUGAGCGGAUGAUCAGCCACACUGGAACUGAGACACGGUCCAGACUCCUACGGGAGGCAGCAGUGGGGAAUAUUGGACAAUGGGCGCAAGCCUGAUCCAGCCAUGCCGCGUGGGUGAAGAAGGCCUUCGGGUUGUAAAGCCCUUUUGUUGGGAAAGAAAAGCAGCAGGUUAAUACCCCGCUGUUCUGACGGUACCCAAAGAAUAAGCACCGGCUAACUUCGUG
This 492-nucleotide ribosomal RNA is filed under the name uncultured bacterium. RNAcentral's name for it is "partial 16S ribosomal RNA". It matches the Rfam family "Bacterial small subunit ribosomal RNA", at positions 29 to 507 of the family's 1533-position model. The record is from RNAcentral.